GAUGAACGCUGGCGGCGUGCUUAACACAUGCAAGUCGAACGGGAAACCUUUUAUUGCAGCUUCGGCAGAUUUAGCUGGUUUCUAGUGGCGGACGGGUGAGUAACGCGUGGGUAACCUGCCUUAUGCAGGGGGAUAACAGUCAGAAAUGGCUGCUAAUACCGCAUAAGCGCACAGAGCUGCAUGGCUCAGUGUGAAAAACUCCGGUGGUAUAAGAUGGACCCGCGUUGGAUUAGCUGGUUGGUGGGGUAACGGCCCACCAAGGCGACGAUCCAUAGCCGGCCUGAGAGGGUGAACGGCCACAUUGGGACUGAGACACGGCCCAGACUCCUACGGGAGGCAGCAGUGGGGAAUAUUGCACAAUGGGGGAAACCCUGAUGCAGCGACGCCGCGUGAAGGAAGAAGUAUCUCGGUAUGUAAACUUCUAUCAGCAGGGAAGAUAAUGACGGUACCUGACUAAGAAGCCCCGGCUAACUACGU
This 477-nucleotide ribosomal RNA is filed under the name uncultured bacterium. Its description in RNAcentral is "partial 16S ribosomal RNA". It matches the Rfam family "Bacterial small subunit ribosomal RNA", at positions 28 to 506 of the family's 1533-position model. The record is from RNAcentral.